Humulus lupulus (European hop) is the source of this 365-nucleotide long non-coding RNA. RefSeq lists it as uncharacterized. Lineage: Eukaryota; Viridiplantae; Streptophyta; Magnoliopsida; Rosales; Cannabaceae. The transcript has 3 exons. The record is from RefSeq and is a predicted model, not a curated record.
CUUGAAGACCCAAAAUCUGGAACUAUAGACAACGCUGAUGAGGAUGCCUUGACAAAAUUGUUUGGUAACCCAAAAUCUGGUCGUUUAAUCGGACAAGGAAGAGGCGUAACAAGGUCAAAGCUAACUAUUGUUAAUAUGUGUAAUAGCAAGAUCUCCAAGUUAGAAGAAGAGCAACAUAAUAUGAAGCUCAAAAUGACUGAAAUGAUGAAUCUACUUAAAGAACACUUGGUUGGUGGUAAAGUGACACCAAGCGAAGGACAGUCUCGCAAUGUACCGCAGUCAAACAAUAUUCAGUCCCCUAAGAGUAUUGCACUAGAAAAAAGACAUAACUUUAUAGAAGGGAAGAAUGCUUGCUACUUGCUUGA